UGGGGAAUAUUGGACAAUGGGCGAAAGCCUGAUCCAGCCAUGCCGCGUGUGUGAAGAAGGUCUUUGGAUUGUAAAGCUCUUUAAGCAGGGAGGAAGGGCAGUAAGUGAAUACCUUGCUGUCCUGACGUUACCGACAGAAUAAGCACCGGCUAACUCUGUGCCAGCAGCCGCGGUAAUACAGAGGGUGCAAGCGUUAAUCGGAAUUACUGGGCGUAAAGCGCGCGUAGGUGGUUCGUUAAGUUGGAUGUGAAAGCCCCGGGCUCAACCAGGUAACGGCAUCCAAAACUGGCGGGCUAGAGUGGAGCAGAGGGUGGUGGAAUUUCCUGUGUAGCGGUGAAAUGCGUAGAUAUAGGGAGGAACACCAGUGGCGAAGGCGACCACCUGGGCUGAUACUGACACUGAGGUGCGAAAGCGAGGGGAGCGAACAGG
RNAcentral lists this ribosomal RNA (429 nucleotides) under Pseudomonadota bacterium. RNAcentral describes it as "Proteobacteria bacterium partial 16S ribosomal RNA". It matches the Rfam family "Bacterial small subunit ribosomal RNA", at positions 355 to 776 of the family's 1533-position model. Lineage: Bacteria; Pseudomonadati; Pseudomonadota. The record is from RNAcentral.